UGAACUCUUAACAUCGCAGUCAUUGUCUCAUUUCACAGUCAAAGUACGAGGAGAAUGAGGCCAAAGAGGCCUCGUGAUGCAACACAGGCUGAAUACUCACAGAACUCUGUUUGGUAGUUGUUCAACCGCAGUGCUGAAGGAUCAGAAUACCAACAGUUAGUGUCCUACUCCCCAUUCAUCCAUCCAUCCAUCUAUUGUCUGUACCUACUGUGUCUUCUGUUCAGGCUAGAGUGCACCCCAGCAUUCACUGAGCAAGAGGCAGGGGAACACCCGGGAAGCACAGGAGGAAACCGGAGUACCCAGAGGAGAAGCCUUGUGAAGUCAAGUCGUGUCAAGUUUAUUUGUACAGCUAAAGAUCACAUUAAAUGUCUCAGUGGGCUUUACCCAGCCUGAGCUCUCCAGGAAGACGAGGAGAAACUCAUUGCAAAGAUGAGCGCCGAGGAAAAAAGAAGAAACCUCAGGGGAACCAACUCAGUGAGAGAUCCCCCUUCUUCUCACAGCUGGAGGUGCAGUGGGAACUACACAUGAGAAAACGGUGCAAAAGAACACAAAGUUGUAUAUAAAUGCAACAAAAGAAAAAGGAAGAAUGAGGUACACGCAAGCACCUCUCAGAAAGCUUCAGAGUCGGCUCAAACCCAACAUGCAGAUCAUCCUGUCUGGAUGCUCCCUUUGUGCUGCGUGUCUUAGGUGACCACCACCUUACUAGAAAUCUAGUGGUAAAAGACUAUAAUUGCAAAGUUUAUCGACCCCCACUGUGGUGACUGAAUUUUCAUCCGUGUAAUUAGGCCCAUAUUCAAAGUUGAUUUAUGAGGCUCUUGUUCACCGGGAGUCAGUUUUUCGGAGAAUCUUGUAGUCAUCUGGCUGCAUUAUAAAAAUAAAAAAAAAAACUGAUCUGAAAAAUUAAUUAAAAUCUGUGGUCUGUGUGAUAAAGGGUUUAAUGUAUUUGCCAUAAAGGUCAGGAUCACAGCGGUUUAUAUUUGUGGCAUUCAAUUUAAAAUACAGUAAACUGAUCCUACAUGUUUUUGUUUUUAAUCAGAGUUCACGAUUGUAUUCCAGACUGAGCAUACAUCCUAAUGCAACGGUAAAUUUUCACCGACUGAUCUGCUUUUGAACUGUGUGGAAUAAGUUAGAGAGGUCGUCUGGACAUCUGCUGGGUGCAAAGGGACAAAUAAUAGAGAAUAUUUGUGAGAUUCCAUUUCUAUUUUUAUAAAUAGUUUUUUCAUUGAUAUGUAUUUGAGAUCUAAAUCCGCCUUUUAAUGACUCUCGUUGCCGCCUAUUGUCUUUUUAACUAUGGCACCCACCUGGUUGAUAGUGUUUGUUGUGCCUUUUAUAGCUUUUGUGACCCAUUCAUUCAAAGUUUGUGCAGGACUCCUUGAAAUUACCCUUGUAUGUUUCAUUUUCCUUGUAACAAGGACAACCUGGCACGUAUGAAUGUGAAUAGAUGACAAUGAUGUCGCUGGUCA
Xiphias gladius (swordfish) is the source of this 1463-nucleotide long non-coding RNA. RefSeq lists it as uncharacterized. NCBI's taxonomy places the organism in Eukaryota, Metazoa, Chordata, Actinopteri, Istiophoriformes, Xiphiidae. The record is from RefSeq and is a predicted model, not a curated record. The transcript has 3 exons.